GCAGGCGCGAAACCUUUACACUGYWYKACAGUGCGAUAGGGGGAUCCCAAGUGCACAGGCAUAGCGCCUGUGCUUUUCGGUACCCUAAGGCGGUACCAGAAUAAGGGCUGGGCAAGACCGGUGCCAGCCGCCGCGGUAAUACCGGCAGCCCAAGUGAUGGCCGAUCUUAUUGGGCCUAAAGCGUCCGUAGCUGGCCGUACAAGUCCAUCGGGAAAUCCACCUGCUCAACAGGUGGGCGCCCGGUAGAAACUGUGCGGCUUGGGACCGGAAGGCGCGACGGGUACGUCCGGGGUAGGAGUGAAAUCCCGUAAUCCUGGACGGACCGCCGAUGGCGAAAGCACGUCGCGAGAACGGAUCCGACAGUGAGGGACGGAAGCCAGGGUCUCGAACCGGAUUAGAUACCCGGGUAGUCCUGGCCGUAAACAAUGUCUGCUAGGUGUGGCUCCCACUACGAGUGGGUGCUGUGCCGUAGGGAAGCCGCUAAGCAGACCGCCUGGGAAGUACGUCCGCAAGGAUGAAACUUAAAGGAAUUGGCGGGGGAGCACUACAACCGGAGGAGCCUGCGGUUUAAUUGGAUUCAACGCCGG
RNAcentral lists this ribosomal RNA (587 nucleotides) under uncultured haloarchaeon. Its description in RNAcentral is "bacterial SSU rRNA". It matches the Rfam family "Archaeal small subunit ribosomal RNA", at positions 335 to 921 of the family's 1478-position model. The record is from RNAcentral. Lineage: Archaea; Methanobacteriati; Methanobacteriota; Halobacteria; Halobacteriales; Halobacteriaceae.